Molecule: long non-coding RNA, 1911 nt
Filed under: Amborella trichopoda
Lineage: Eukaryota; Viridiplantae; Streptophyta; Magnoliopsida; Amborellales; Amborellaceae
Description: long non-coding RNA (ATRI_LNC003963)
Source: RNAcentral
AGAAAUUAAAAAUUUUGACGUAGGUGGGAGGGGAUAGGCAGGGGAGGAAAAGAUAUUGUAUAUACGAUAUAUGCCAUGCCCCAAGAUCAAAUCAUUCAUUCUCCUAGGAAAGGCUUUGAACCCCAAGCCACCAAAAAGCUUAGUUUAAUUGGUCGGUUUGGGGGAAAGGGGGCAAGGGCUACAUGAAUCACGUUGGUUCUCUUUGCCCACUUAAAGAGAAGGAGAACAUCCACAUAUGUGUCACAUUGGUUAAAAAAGUAUAAAACAUGGGAAUACGUGCAGAUCGAUGGGGCCAAGCAUAAAUGUGGAAAGAGAUAGAGAGAGAGAGUGGACAAAUCCGGAGCAAAGGGUCAAGUCAGAAGAUGGGGGCAGCAGGAGGGAGCACAUCAAUCGCUUGGGAAUUCCUCCUCCACACAAAGGGGGCUGACCGACCCACCCACCCCAAUCAUGUGCGCCCAGCCCAGAUCUCUCAGGAUCUCAACACCCUUGUCUUCACCUAAAACCUCCUAAACUAUAUAUCUCUCGCUCUUCCCUGCCUUUUAUUGCGAUUACUUUAUUGAGUAACAUUAUUUUUUGAUCGGUUGGUUGCUGCUCUCCUCGUCUAUCUCACAUAAAUCUUUUUCUAAUCUAACAGAUAAAAAUAAUGAGUCAUCUUCCAUCCUCCUUUCCUAUCUAGUUUUCAUGGGUUGGGUUUUUUUAAUGGCAUAUGUUGCCUUUUCAGGGAAACUGACGAACGCCCAUAAGCAACAAUAUCUCCACCAAGAUUUUGAGGGGCCGAAGCGUCCCUACGGUCUCGGUAAAUUAUCGAGAGACGCACCCUGCCCCAUGCCCAAUUUCCUUGUCAUGAGCGCCCGGACUAGAAGCGAUGUGCCCUUGUUCCACUUCACCCCAUCUGAAAAGGCAUUGUAUAUAGACCUUGCGUCAAGGGAGGCAACGGACCGGCCUUGGUUCGAACCCCAGCCCUUGUCCCAAAGGACUGCACCAGCUCAAGCUAGGUCAAAAAUAAAUGAAAAAAAAUAAAAAAAAUAAGCAAAAAAAAAAGAGGGCCAGGCCUAACCGAAUAAGGCCGCACUAGCCCUAGCUCACCCAUUGGGCCACAAUUUGUGGCUCAGGCCUAUGUAUUCAACGUUGUUGUCCGGGCUCGGCCGGCCGCCCAUCCCAUUGCCUGCCCAUACACAAGUCCCAUUCAAUGUGUGUGAAUUUGGAAGAUGAACCUAAGGCUCCAACCCUCAACUUUUUGGAUAUUCCUAAUAUACUAAAAUCUCCUCUGAUCUAUACUCAUACCCAUUUUCCGUGAUUUUUUGCUUAACUACUAUAUUUCCCUCAUCACAUAUUUGAUACAUCCAUUGUGCUACAAAGCGCAAUGGUUCUCAUACAACAGUGGGGAUGCCAAAGGUUUUUUAAGAGUUGGAGGGUGCCUAAGGCACCAUCACGACCUAUCUAGUUCGUGAUGGAAACGCAGCGGACCUACUAAGUCUAUGAUGGUGGCUAAUGCACUAUCAUGGACCUAAUACCAUAACGGAAAAAUCCUAUGGAUCUGUUAGAUAUGUGGCAAGACCUGCAAUAGACCUACUAGAUCUAUGGCAAUGCCUAAUGCGCCAUCAUGGAUCUAAAAUCGUCACGGGCCUCCAUAGACCUGUUUGGUCCAUAAUGGAGCCCCAUGGACCUGCUAAGUAUGUGGCAAUAUCAAAGGCUCCUCCAAAGUCCAGGAGGCUUGACAGUACCUUUGACACGGCACCACCAUGGACUUGCAAGAUCCGUGGCGCUUGGGAGUGUCAGUUUAAACAACCUUCGUGGUUCUAGGAGAUCCGUGGUGUUUUUUUAGUGCGAAGGAUGUACCCAAUCCAUGACAGCGGGCAAUAUAGUCAUUAAACAAAAAAUGUGGGGAAAUUGGGUAUGAUUGUAAGUAAU